CUUGUUCAUCUGGCUCUCCCCACCCUCCUACUUUCAGACUUAUCCUUCUAGGUCAGCAAAUCUGGAGAGCCUCUCCUCUUGAUCUAGGGUCAUUAUUACAAUGAAGGGAAGAAAGGAAGACAUGAAGGGGAAAUGGGACUAUUUACCAAGUGUAUCUGCAUAGACUAAAGGAGACAAGAGGAAGUACUGAGCACCUUGAUUCCUGCAGAUAAUUAUUUAAGAACCAUAAGAAUUCUUUCCUAGCUUCUCAUAAGCCUGCUCCUUCAAAGGGUUAACUGCAGUGAAUCAAACUAUUGGAUUAUAAUUCCAUGAAGUAAGUUUAUUGAAGACAAACAGGCCUUGGGCCGCUGCCUCUGUCUCUCCUGCCUUCCCCACUGAAUCUCCAGCCCACAUUCACAAACAAAGACAAACCUGUGUAAACUGAAGCACCACAAAACUACUUUUAUGAAAGCAGAAUGGAAGCAGAUUUCACCUGCAUUUCCUACAUUCAACUGAAUCCUUUAAAUUGACUGAGGCACAUCCUGUACCAAGGAGAGACCUUUGUUACUGCCUUUGAUCCUGAGACCUUCUGAGCCAGCCUCCUUGGUAUAACCACGCAUUUACGGAAGAUGACGUUACCAGCAGCCCUGGGGCGCAGUCAACAGCAGUGGAAGAGCUGGCUCAUGUGUGGCUCAGGCUGACUCCACAAUCAGAGUGAUUAUGUGGAAAUCAAUCAGAAUUUUCUUCUUAGAAGAUGUUUGUUCUGACAUAAUGACUGACUUUCCAGCUAAUUUUUAUUCAUAGGCUUCUCCUUGCACAAUGAUCUCUAUUUCUCUCAAUGUUAUUCUGUGUCUUUCUUGCUUGCCUGCACAUUCUGAAAAAAAAAGGAAAGCAAUUCCCUACAUUUUAUUUUGAUACUUAAUGUUGUUUGCUAACAUAUUCAGAACACAAUGCAACUUUAUAUAUUAGAGCACUUAUAAUAUAUAUUAGGAAAACAUCAAUUAGGUACCACCAGUUAUUUUAGACAGGUAUCUCUUAGGUAAAAUGUGGUGAAAAUAGAGGGGCAAUGAUAGAAUUCAUAUGUGAAAGAGUCAAUUGGCCAUCAUUAUGCCAAAAUUAUUUUGUGGUUCAGGGGACAUUUUAAACUUUAAUUUUUAAGAAUUAAACUUUAAUUAAAUUUAUUGUAGUUUAAAUGCAAUCACAAGGAAAGACUCUGAACUGGAAACACCAAGCCAAGCUCUUUCCUAGUUCUGGUCCCCUAUAAACCCUGAAAGUUAAUGCAAUUAUUGUAAUUUUUAAACCACCGAGUUCUCAGGGUGAUUAGUUAUGCAGCAAUAGAUAGCCUGAAAAGGACCAUUCUUUCUGGCACUGAAAAUUAAGAAGAGUGAUUAACAACAUAAGAAUGUAGUUUGUGCUGUCUGCCACAGAUUUAUGUUGUAGCUUCAGUGAUUGCUUCAAAGCACCCUUACUAAUUGCCAGCCUAUUGCUGAUACCUAGCUAAAUUAGCAUGUGUUAGUUUUGAUACCACUAUAGGCAUUUAAAGGAUAGCUGAUACAUUCUAUAUAAAAUAUAAUUAUUUUCCUAUCUUUAGUUUAUCCUAAAGUAGCAGCUAUUAUAUUCGCUUCUUGAUUAGCUUUAUACAUAACCAGAGAAAGUAAAAUAUCACAGAGUAUAUUUGAAGACAUAAAAGUCUUUGGACAAAGCUCAAGUAAUGAAUCAGGAUGCUAUUACAUCCUCCACAUGACAGUAAAUAUAUUUUAUAUUCCUAAAUUUUAAGCUUUUAACAAAAGCAAAUUUUAUACUGGACUAUUUCAAUUUCUAGGGAAAGGAAAUUAUCAUUUACUGUCUUUGAGGCUAUAAUCUAUUUAGCCAUUAUUUUUAUAUUGAUCAAUUUAUAAUAAAGGUAAGAGAAAAUACUACCACAUAUAUGUUGUUUAUAUAAUUUUAACUUUCAUAAUUAAAAUACUGGGUAUACUGCAAGAUGUCAAUAUUUAUAAUAGCUUAUAUUUGGAAACAAUUAUACUUUAUAUACUCCUAA
RNAcentral lists this long non-coding RNA (2017 nucleotides) under Homo sapiens (human). RNAcentral's name for it is "HSALNT0374917". Lineage: Eukaryota; Metazoa; Chordata; Mammalia; Primates; Hominidae. The record is from RNAcentral.